CUGCAGCAACCGCCGCGGGCGCGCUUGGUCCGACGGCUGUGGCGCGCUCCGCGCGGCCUCGGACACGCCUAGUCCUGCUGCUGCGCUCUCGGACCUUUUUCCUCCCCCCCCUUCUCCUUCCGACGAUGAGCGGGCGCGCGCACAGCCUUCCCACCCUCCCACUACUGCAGAGCGUGUCCGCUCGCGCAUGCGGGAGAGCCGCGCCUCUUCUUCACAGCACAGCCGGCAGCAGCAGCAACAGAGCAGGGCAGGGAGAGGCCGCGCGCCGCCCUGAUGCUUCCGCUCGUUUACCCCCACCAGCUCCUCUCCAGGGAGGGGCGGACGGAAGGCAGGCAGCCAGCCAGGGAGAGGGGUGCACAAUAGUCCUCCCUCCAACCCCCUUUGCACUAUUUCGACAUCGGAAACAUGCUAGCCCCACCCCCUCGCCUCCAACCACUCUCUUCACACAGGGUAGGCAAAAGAAACGCCAUCCUAACGCACCACACACGCAUACUACACACUUCACAUCUUUGUUCCGGUUUCCAGCCAUUGGAGGCCUGGAGCCAAGUCCCAGUCAUUCAAGGCCACAGAGUACAUACUGUAGCUGAUUUCAUAACCCGAAGGCACCAAAACACUUUAAACUCUGGAGCACAGCUGCACAACUUUGGUCCUCCAGCUAUUGGACUACAGCUCCCAUCAUCUGCUACCACAGUGGCCAAUAGUCAGGGAUGAUGGGAGUUGUAGUCCAGCAUCUGCAGGAGGGCCAAAAGUAUGCAGUCCUGUUCUGAAGGAUGACAGUGAGAAGCAACCUACUCUUCUAUUCUAGUUAUGUGCAUCCUUAUCAAGAUCUAAAUGAUAGUGAUUUGUGCUGCACUGCAAAUAAUGCCAUGUGAAAUUGCAUAAUGCAGGUUAUGUUACUUGCCUAACAUAUCUCAGAUAAUUUUUAAAAAUGCAAUGCUUCCUACAGAGACUGAUCUGGAGUACUUUUAUGAAAGCUAUGAUGAAAUGUAAAAAGCUUAACAACACAAAAAUGCAUUGCAGUAUAACUACUAAGCUUGAAAGAGCAAGAAAAGGAAAAUGGGCAGAAGAGGAAGGUAAACGAUUGACUUCAACCAACCAUUAUGAAUUUGUCAAAUCCAUAUCCUGAAGCAUUGCUUACUGUGGUGAAGAUUAUUCUUUAUGGAUAAUACAAAUAUUCAUAAGCCAAUUGGAAGCAAAUUUAGAUACCAGACUGACAAAAAACUUCUGCUAGGAUACUUGAGAUUUUCAGUAUAUAGAGAAAUGAGGGCAAAAAAAUUGUGGAGACAUUAUGUAACAUUUGCCUAUCAGUUUUGUUUAAAUCUAUAUUGGAAAUUUCAGUUUGGGGAAGAAAAAGGCCACUUCUGGGCUUUCCAGAGGUAUCUGGCCAUUGUGGGAAACAGGAUGCUCAAGUACUGUGGUGAAGAUUAUUCUUUAUGGAUAAUACAAAUAUUCAUAAGCCAAUUGGAAGCAAAUUUACCAGACUGACAAAAAACUUCUGCUAGUAUACUUGAGAUUUUCAAUAUAUAGAGAAUUGAGGGCAAAAAAAUUGUGGAGACAUUAUGUAACAUUUGCCUAUCAGUUUUGUUUAAAUCUAUAUUGGAAAUUUCAGUUUGGGGAAGAAAAAGGCCACUUCUGGGCUUUCCAGAGGUACAUUGCCAUUGUGGGAAACAGGAUGCUCAAGUAGAUUGACUUUUAAUUUAAUCUAGCUGGGCCCUUCUUAAAAACAUUAUUCCACUGAAGAUACAUAAAAUAAUCCCGACAAUGACAGAAUGUGAAAAUAUUGUCCAUGAAUCAAUCAGUGCAGUAUCUGAAGUUUCCUUCCAUAGCACUUGCAUAUCCAUAUUGCUGUGUGACACCUGAAUUUUCUGGAAUUGAGAGAUCGUCAGUAGUGCAAUUUGACAGAAUUGACCAUGAAUUAUGAAGUGCACAUAAGCAUCUCAAAGGACCUUCAGUCUAGUUUAAUAGGGUGGUUCUUAAAGUUAUUGAUACGUCUGCUGUUAUCAGUCCAGCAUUUCUAAAAUCCAAAGAACUCACUUUUUCUGAAAGCUUAACAAUAAAUGGGUCUUAACAAAGUAUGUGAAGACCCACAGAUUAUCUGAAGAAAGAAGUGCAGGAGAAAAUCGAGUGAUUCUAACAAUGGAAAGUGCCAACACUAGAUUUGAAUUUCCUUGGGCAAGAUUCUGAGUCAGCAGCUCAAGAGUCCUUGUACACCUGCCAGCAACUUAUUUUUGGGUCUUUCUUUUCUGAAGAUUACUCUUCAGUAGCUAUGAUAAGACCAUCAAUGGACAUCAUUAAAUUCAAUACACACUACUUGAACAAUGACCAUAUUAGGAGACAAUCUGAUAAAUGCAGUCUAUGUGUUUCCCCUCUCACCUCAGUGUAGAUGGUAUGUAGAUAGCCAGUAAUGGAAAUGAAAGUGGUUACUGUUUUAAGAAAUAUGGGCAUAGAGUACAUGCUGUUUGUUGUUUAAACUUGCUUACCAGAAAAAAUGCACAACAAAACCUUGUGGUUGCAGUCAAUCAAGACGAACAUCUGCUGUGAUAUGUGCAAACUACAAAGGCAACUGUUGCAUUUAAUUUGUGUGUGUUUUUGUAAAACACAAACCGAUGUUCGUAAUAAACAUUUUAGAAAACAUAA
Molecule: long non-coding RNA, 2637 nt
Organism: Hemicordylus capensis (graceful crag lizard)
Lineage: Eukaryota; Metazoa; Chordata; Lepidosauria; Squamata; Cordylidae
Exons: 2
Source: RefSeq, a predicted model, not a curated record